ACAAACUAAACCUAGAAGUAUGAAGUAAAAUUUUCAGAAUCAGAUCUAACCAGGCCCAAGCAACCGGAUCCAAGAAAGGCCAAACAAUUAGCUCCGGGUCAAUCCAAUGCUAUGCCAGCUUCGUCUAUUUCGGCGUCGCGUUUUUCACUAUGGUUUGCGUUUCAGAAUAAUUUUGGCAUCGCGUCAGCAUCGUCGUAUUUUCACCACCAUCCAUCAUCGUGUAUUGAUUCCGCCAUCAUGUGGAUUCAACAAGCGUCAUGUUUUAGGGUUCCUAAUCAUCGCGCUUCAGAAAUCAAUUGCCUUCUCCAUUGCGUUCAAGAAUCACGGAUCGGAAUUUCAGAAUGAACGAACGACUAUCAAUGGCUCUAACACCAAAUUGAUUUUCGAAAACAACUUCAAUCGCUUCAAGGUCGUGCAUUCGUGAAAGCAGAAAAGCAGAAUCGUAGUUAUAAACUCACUGAAUCAGUGGUGCAAGGUUCAACAUGCGAAGGAUCUUGGUGUGUUCAUCAUAAUGGUUGCACUAUAUUGUCUUAUAAGAAAAUGAAUGAAAAUUGCAGGGCCAUAGUUGAUGGAAUAGGAUUGAAAAAUAUACAUCUAUUUGUAAAACAUACUGUAAAUUGAUCUGAAUGAAAUUGGAAUUGUUAGAUGUUUGAUUA
Molecule: long non-coding RNA, 656 nt
Organism: Lathyrus oleraceus (garden pea)
Lineage: Eukaryota; Viridiplantae; Streptophyta; Magnoliopsida; Fabales; Fabaceae
Exons: 2
Source: RefSeq, a predicted model, not a curated record